GAUUAACGCUAGCGGCAGGCAUAAUACAUGCAAGUUGAACGGCAGCACAGGUAGCAAUACUGGGUGGCGAGUGGCGCACGGGUGCGUAACACGUAUGCAACCUACCCUAUACAGGCGAAUAACCUUUAGAAAUGAGGGCUAAUACGCCGUAGUAUUACAGAUGGGCAUCUAUUUGUAAUUAAAGAUUUAUCGGUAUAGGGUGGGCAUGCGUCCCAUUAGUUAGUUGGUAAGGUAACGGCUUACCAAGACGAUGAUGGGUAGGGGAUCUGAGAGGACUUACCCCCACACUGGUACUGAGACACGGACCAGACUCCUACGGGAGGCAGCAGUAAGGAAUAUUGGGCAAUGGCCGCGAGGCUGACCCAGCCAUGCCGCGUGCAGGAAGACGGCCUUAUGGGUUGUAAACUGCUUUUAUACGGGAAUAAUAGAGUGUACGCGUACAUUUAUGCAAGUAUCGUAUGAAUAAGCAUCGGCUAACUCCGUG
This 484-nucleotide ribosomal RNA is filed under the name uncultured bacterium. Its description in RNAcentral is "partial 16S ribosomal RNA". It matches the Rfam family "Bacterial small subunit ribosomal RNA", at positions 28 to 507 of the family's 1533-position model. The record is from RNAcentral.